GAUGAACGCUGGCGGCGUGCCUAAUACAUGCAAGUCGAGCGAACAGACGAGGAGCUUGCUCCUCUGACGUUAGCGGCGGACGGGUGAGUCACACGUGGAUAACCUACCUAUAAGACUGGGAUAACUUUGGGAAACCGGAGCUACUACCGGAUAAUAUAUUGCCCCGCAUGGUUCACUAGUGAAAGACGGUUUUGCUGUCACUUAUAGAUGGAUCCGCGCCGCAUUCGUUAGUUGGUAAGGUAACGGCUUACCAAGGCUACGAUGCGUAGCCGACCUGAGAGGGUGGUCGGCCACACUGGAACUGAGGCACGGUCCAGACUCCUACGGUAGGCAGCAGUAGGGAAUCUUCCGCAAUGGGCGAAAGCCUGACGGUGCAACGCCGCGUGAGGGAUGAAGGUCUUCGGAUCGUAAAACGCUGUUAGUAGUGAAGAACAAAUGUGUAAGUAACUAGGCACGUCUUGACGGUACCGAAACAGAAAGCCACGGCUAACUACGUG
This 497-nucleotide ribosomal RNA is filed under the name uncultured bacterium. RNAcentral's name for it is "partial 16S ribosomal RNA". It matches the Rfam family "Bacterial small subunit ribosomal RNA", at positions 28 to 507 of the family's 1533-position model. The record is from RNAcentral.